Molecule: ribosomal RNA, 253 nt
Filed under: uncultured bacterium
Lineage: Bacteria
Description: partial 16S ribosomal RNA
Rfam family: Bacterial small subunit ribosomal RNA
Source: RNAcentral
UACGUAGGCAGCAAGCGUUGUUCGGAGUUACUGGGCGGAAAGGGUGUGUAGGCGGUUCUUUAAGUUUGGUGUGAAAUCUCCCGGCUUAACCGGGAGGGUGCGCCGAAUACUGAGGGACUAGAGUACGGGAGAGGAAAGUGGAAUUCCUGGUGUAGCGGUGAAAUGCGUAGAUAUCAGGAGGAACACCGGUGGUGUAGACGGCUUUCUGGACCGUAACUGACGCUGAGACACGAAAGCGUGGGUAGCAAACAGG